RNAcentral lists this ribosomal RNA (438 nucleotides) under uncultured bacterium. Its description in RNAcentral is "partial 16S ribosomal RNA". It matches the Rfam family "Bacterial small subunit ribosomal RNA", at positions 339 to 795 of the family's 1533-position model. The record is from RNAcentral.
CUACGGGUUGCAGCAGUGAGGAAUAUUGCACAAUGGGGGGAACCCUGAUGCAGCAACGCCGCGUGGAGGACGACGCAUUUCGGUGUGUAAACUCCUUUUAUAUGUCAAGAAAAUGACGGUAGCAUAUGAAUAAGCACCGGCUAACUCCGUGCCAGCAGCCGCGGUAAUAGGGAGGGUGCAAGCGUUACUCGGAAUCACUGGGCGUAAAGGACGCGUAGGCGGGUUGGAAAGUCAGGUGUGAAAUCCUACAGCUUAACUGUAGAACUGCACUUGAAACUUCUAAUCUAGAGUAUGGGAGGGGGAGAUGGAAUUAGUGGUGUAGGGGUAAAAUCCGUAGAUAUCACUAGGAAUACCUAAAGCGAAGGCGAUCUCCUGGAACAUUACUGACGCUAAGGCGUGAAAGCGUGGGGAGCAAACAGGAUUAGAUACCCCGUAGUC